This 1702-nucleotide long non-coding RNA is filed under the name Nicotiana benthamiana. Its description in RNAcentral is "long non-coding RNA (NBEN_LNC027607)". Lineage: Eukaryota; Viridiplantae; Streptophyta; Magnoliopsida; Solanales; Solanaceae. The record is from RNAcentral.
UAGAAAUAAGAUGAGUUGAAAUACCAAAAGAAACAUGUUGUUCCGAGACAGUGUAAACUUAAACUAGAAACAUACCAGUCAAGAGUUAGAAUAGAACAGCAAGGUGCAGAGAGGUAGAGCAAUAGGAUAAUAGUAUGCAGAACAGGAAAGAGAGCAGCAGGACAACAGUGUGUAGAUGCAAGAGAGCAACAUUAAUUACUCAGUCUUGGCUUUUAGCCGACUGAUUAAUCAGUAACUAAUACGAGAAGAAAAAGAGAAUAUGUAUGAGCGUAAGAGAAAGGGUUUUAGAACAAUGUUUUUUGUUCCUGUCCUUCGAUAUAUAUAGUUCGAAAAUAGGCAGAAGAGUAUGGUAACAAAUAAUAGCUCACCCAAAUUAUAGAAGUAAAUUAUAACUAGAAUCCAAUUAAUACAAAUACUCCCUUUAAUUAAGGAGUCAAUAUUCAAAGGGAUACAAACAGUGAUAGACAAGGAAAAAAAUCAAUUGAGGAGCUGAUUUUACCAUAUAAAGGGUAGUAAAAGUGUAGAGCAUGUAAUUGAGACUAAAUACAAAAUAUACCAAUUAAGGAAAGUGUAUAAGAAUUAAUUUGACAGCAUGUUUAUUCAUAGAAAUAAGGCAGGACGUAGUUUUAAUUUUGGAAAUCAGUAAGAGAACCCUUGAAUGAGGUUCCAAUCGCAGGGAAUUAGUAUCAAUUAAGGAAAAUAUCACACAAGUAAGGAAAUACUCAAAGUCAGUAGUUAGUAUUGCGUAAAAAUCAAUGGAGUACUAAUCACAAUCAUUCAAGGAUUCAAAGUGUCAAAAUAACGCAUUAGGAAAAAUCAGAAGCACAAAUUGGGGAUUCACGUAGGGCAUAGCAAGUAAUCGAAAGACUUAGCAGAAUACAAUAUGGUGCAAUCAACAGGACAAGAGCAAAACCCUAAUACUCAAAUUUAGCAAGGAUAGUAACAAUUAGAGAGAUCAGUAGGACAAGCACAACAUAAGUGAAAGAAAUAAAGAAUCAGCAGACUAAUAAGCAAACAACAGGGUAAAACCAUAGAGACUUAGGAAGCUCAUGAGAAUCAAAAGUAUCCACAAACAUAUCACCACAGACACACUCAGAAUAUAGAUUUAAAAUCGAGAACCUAGGGUUUUUAGUAAAAAUAAAUCAAACCAAAAGGGAAAAGGUUUAGAUAAUGAUAUACAUGAGGAGAAUCAUAUAAUAAGGCAAUACAUCAGAAAGAAAAGCUAUUUUGAAAAAAAAAGUUUCAAGAACCCUAGUUUCGAAAAGAAGAACAAAACAUUUAAACUUGAUCAAUCGUGAAGAUCUAGUAGAGAGUAGUGUAAAAAUAUAAAGGUAUGAGUUAAUAUUGUUAAAAAAAACACAAAGAUUUGAGAGGUUGGGUAGAUAUUAGGGUUGCGUGAGAAACCAAUGUGAGAUAAGAGAAACCUAGCUGUGAAACUCAGCAAUAAUGGUGUCCACAUCACCAUCGGACCAAACCCCAUCGGAGAAAGGUUGGAGACAAACCAAACCAAACCUUCAGUGACCAUCUCGUAUGGCGGAGGCUUCUGGGGUCUCAUCGAUAGAUGGGAUCAACGACGUAAGGAUUCACGGUGACUGGUGGUCGAAAGAGGUGAGGCUGGAGGUGGUCGGAGAGGUAGUGAGUUCAUCAGAGAAGAAGAGAGAACCAGAAGUUUCUAGAGAGACAGGAGAGCAAGCUUUAGAAU